This 370-nucleotide ribosomal RNA is filed under the name uncultured bacterium. RNAcentral's name for it is "bacterial SSU rRNA". It matches the Rfam family "Bacterial small subunit ribosomal RNA", at positions 641 to 1010 of the family's 1533-position model. The record is from RNAcentral.
CUAGAGUCUCGUAGAGGGGGGUAGAAUUCCAGGUGUAGCGGUGAAAUGCGUAGAGAUCUGGAGGAAUACCGGUGGCGAAGGCGGCCCCCUGGACGAAGACUGACGCUCAGGUGCGAAAGCGUGGGGAGCAAACAGGAUUAGAUACCCUGGUAGUCCACGCCGUAAACGAUGUCGAUUUGGAGGCUGUGCCCUUGAGGCGUGGCUUCCGGAGCUAACGCGUUAAAUCGACCGCCUGGGGAGUACGGCCGCAAGGUUAAAACUCAAAUGAUUUGACGGGGGCCCGCACAAGCGGUGGAGCAUGUGGUUUAAUUCGAUGCAACGCGAAGAACCUUACCUACUCUUGACAUCCAGAGAACUUAGCAGAGAUGCU